This 105-nucleotide small nucleolar RNA is filed under the name Olea europaea subsp. europaea. RNAcentral describes it as "Small nucleolar RNA snoR100". It matches the Rfam family "Small nucleolar RNA snoR100". The record is from Rfam by way of RNAcentral. Lineage: Eukaryota; Viridiplantae; Streptophyta; Magnoliopsida; Lamiales; Oleaceae.
UUAUGAAGGAAGCAUGGUAAUGUGCACAGAGAAUGAAGAUUAAGGUCGGCAUGUCUGCUCUCUCUGAUUCUAUAUGAUUUGGGGGCCUGGUUUAGACCUACAAUU